GUCUCUUCGGGGAUGAUUAAACCGGCGCACGGGUGAGUAACACGUGAGUGACCUGCCUUUUAGACUGGACCAACUUACCGAAAGGUGAGCUAAUGCCGGAUGAGUUAUAUAAGUGCAUGUUUAUAUAGGAAAAGUUGGGGAGACCUGACGCUGAAAGAUGGACUCGCGUCCCAUUAGCUAGUUGGUAGGGUAAUGGCCUACCAAGGCGACGAUGGGUAGCCGGCCUGAGAGGGUGGCCGGCCACACUGGGACUGAGACACGGCCCAGACUCCUACGGGAGGCAGCAGUGGGGAAUUUUGCGCAAUGCUCGUGAGAGUGACGCAGCGACGCCGCGUGAAUGACGAAGGCCUUCGGGUCGUAAAGUUCUUUCGACAGGGAAGAAAAUGCCUAUAAGUAACUGUGUAUGUAUUGACGGUACCUGUAUAAGCAGCCCCGGCUAACUCCGUGCCAGCAGCCGCGGUAAUACGGAGGGGGCGAGCGUUGUUCGGAGUGACUGGGCGUAAAGAGCACGUAGGCGGUGUUGUAAGUCAUUAGUCAAAGACUAGAGCUCAACUUUAGUAAGGCUAGUGAUACUAUAAUACUAGAGUAUCAGAGAGGAUUGCAGAAUUCCUGGUGUAGCGGUGAAAUGCGUAGAUAUCAGGAGGAAUACCGUUAGCGAAGGCGGCAAUCUGGCUGGAAACUGACGCUGAGGUGCGAAAGCGUGGGUAGCAAACAGGAUUAGAUACCCUGGUAGUCCACGCUGUAAACGAUGGAUGCUA
RNAcentral lists this ribosomal RNA (758 nucleotides) under uncultured bacterium. RNAcentral describes it as "bacterial SSU rRNA". It matches the Rfam family "Bacterial small subunit ribosomal RNA", at positions 74 to 818 of the family's 1533-position model. The record is from RNAcentral.